RNAcentral lists this unclassified non-coding RNA (145 nucleotides) under uncultured fungus. RNAcentral's name for it is "sequence contains ITS1, 5.8S rRNA gene". The record is from RNAcentral. Lineage: Eukaryota; Fungi.
AGAAUCGGGGUGCGGAAACGCGCCUUCCUUCAACCACUGUGAACAACCCGUUGCUUCGGCAGCUCCCUCCAGGGGGGUCAGUCUGUCGGCGGCACCCAACAAACCAUUCUGUAAACGCAGUCUGACCACCAAAAGAAAAUCGUUA